Molecule: ribosomal RNA, 440 nt
Filed under: uncultured bacterium
Lineage: Bacteria
Description: partial 16S ribosomal RNA
Rfam family: Bacterial small subunit ribosomal RNA
Source: RNAcentral
CCUACGGGUGGCAGCAGUGGGGAAUAUUGCACAAUGGGGGAAACCCUGAUGCAGCGACGCCGCGUGAGUGAAGAAGUAUUUCGGUAUGUAAAGCUCUAUCAGUAGGGAAGAAAAUGACGGUACCUGAUGAAGAAGCACCGGCUAACUACGUGCCAGCAGCCGCGGUAAUACGUAGGGGGCAAGCGUUACUCGGAUUUACUGGGUGUAAAGGGAGCGUAGGCGGCAGCGCAAGUCUGAAGUGAAAUGCUGGGGCUUAACCACGGAACUGCAUUGGAAACUGUGCAGCUAGAGUGCAGGAGAGGUAGGUGGAAUUCUUGGUGUAGCGGUGAAAUGCGUAGAGAUUAGGAGGAACACCAGUGGCGAAGGCGGCUUACUGGACUGUAACUGACGUUGAGGCUCGAAAGCGUGGGGAGCAAACAGGAUUAGAUACCCCUGUAGUC